UUUCGCAAUGCCCGAAAGGGUGACGAAGCGACGCCGCGUGGGUGAGGAAGGCCUUCGGGUUGUAAAGCCCUGUCAGGAGUUAAGAAAUGUAAGUGCGCUAAUACCGCAUUUAUUUGACGAAGGCUCCAAAGGAAGUCACGGCUAACUCUGUGCCAGCAGCCGCGGUAAUACAGAGGUGGCAAGCGUUGUUCGGAAUUAUUGGGCGUAAAGAGCACGUAGGUGGGUUUGUAAGUCAGAUGUGAAAGCCUCCUGUUCAACGGGAGAAUUGCAUCUGAAACUACAGACCUUGAGUGUAGGAGGGGAGAAUGGAACUUCUGGUGGAGCGGUGAAAUGCGUAGAUAUCAGAAGGAACGCCGGCGGCGAAAGCGAUUCUCUGGCCUAUUACUGACACUCAGUGUGCGAAAGCUAGGGUAGCAAACGGGAUUAGAUACCCCGGUAGUCCUAGCCGUAAACGAUGGGCACUAAGUAGAGGGGUUUUA
This 479-nucleotide ribosomal RNA is filed under the name uncultured anaerobic ammonium-oxidizing bacterium. RNAcentral describes it as "bacterial SSU rRNA". It matches the Rfam family "Bacterial small subunit ribosomal RNA", at positions 364 to 833 of the family's 1533-position model. The record is from RNAcentral.